RNAcentral lists this ribosomal RNA (453 nucleotides) under uncultured bacterium. Its description in RNAcentral is "bacterial SSU rRNA". It matches the Rfam family "Bacterial small subunit ribosomal RNA", at positions 29 to 521 of the family's 1533-position model. The record is from RNAcentral.
AACGAACGCUGGCGGCAUGCCUAACACAUGCAAGUCGAACGAGACCUUCGGGUCUAGUGGCGCACGGGUGCGUAACACGUGGGAAUUUGCCUCGGGGUAUGGAAUAACUCAGGGAAACUUGAGCUAAUACCAUAUAAUGUCUUCGGACCAAAGAUUUAUCGCCCUGAGAUAAGCCCGCGUAGGAUUAGCUAGUUGGUGGGGUAAAGGCUCACCAAGGCGACGAUCCUUAGCUGGUCUGAGAGGAUGAUCAGCCACACUGGGACUGAGACACGGCCCAGACUCCUACGGGGAGGCAGCAGUGGGGGAAUAUUGGACAAUGGGCGAAAGCCUGAUCCAGCAAUGCCGCGUGAGUGAUGAAGGCCUCGGUUGUAAGACUCUUUACUUCGGGUACGAUAAUGACGGUACCGACGAGAAUAAGACCCCGGCCGUAACUCCGUCGCCAGCAGCCGCGGU